Molecule: ribosomal RNA, 253 nt
Filed under: uncultured bacterium
Lineage: Bacteria
Description: partial 16S ribosomal RNA
Rfam family: Bacterial small subunit ribosomal RNA
Source: RNAcentral
UACGUAGGGGGCAAGCGUUGUCCGGAAUCAUUGGGCGUAAAGAGCGUGUAGGCGGCCCGAUAAGUCCGCUGUGAAAGUCCAGGGCUCAACCCUGGGAUGCCGGUGGAUACUGUCGGGCUAGAGUCCGGAAGAGGAGUGUGGAAUUCCUGGUGUAGCGGUGAAAUGCGCAGAUAUCAGGAGGAACACCAAUGGCGAAGGCAGCACUCUGGGACGUGACUGACGCUGAGACGCGAAAGCGUGGGGAGCAAACAGG